GACAGCAGCAGCCGCGGUAAUACGGAGGGUGCAAGCGUUAAUCGGAAUUACUGGGCGUAAAGCGCACGCAGGCGGUCUGACAAGUCAGAUGUGAAAUCCCCGGGCUUAACCUGGGAACUGCAUUUGAAACUGUCAGGCUGGAGUCUUGUAGAGGGGGGUGGAAUUCCAGGUGUAGCGGUGAAAUGCGUAGAGAUCUGGAGGAAUACCGGUGGCGAAGGCGGCCCCCUGGACAAAGACUGACGCUCAGGUGCGAAAGCGUGGGGAGCAAACAGGAUUAGAUACCCGCGUAGUCCCUGUCUCUUAUAC
RNAcentral lists this ribosomal RNA (306 nucleotides) under uncultured bacterium. RNAcentral describes it as "partial 16S ribosomal RNA". It matches the Rfam family "Bacterial small subunit ribosomal RNA", at positions 507 to 807 of the family's 1533-position model. The record is from RNAcentral.